GACGUAGGGGGCCAGCGUUGUUCGGAAUUACUGGGUGUAAAGGGUUCGUAGGCGGUGUGGCAAGUCGGGAGUGAAAUCUCUGGGCUCAACUCAGAGACUGCUUCCGAAACUGCUGUGCUGGAGUGUGGGAGAGGCGCGUGGAAUUGCAGGUGUAGCGGUGAAAUGCGUAGAUAUCUGCAGGAACACCCGUGGCGAAAGCGGCGCGCUGGACCACUACUGACGCUGAGGCGCGAAAGCUAGGGGAGCAAACAGG
This 253-nucleotide ribosomal RNA is filed under the name uncultured bacterium. RNAcentral describes it as "partial 16S ribosomal RNA". It matches the Rfam family "Bacterial small subunit ribosomal RNA", at positions 524 to 776 of the family's 1533-position model. The record is from RNAcentral.